This 2126-nucleotide long non-coding RNA is filed under the name Equus caballus (horse). RNAcentral's name for it is "lncRNA (ENSECAG00000030612.3)". Lineage: Eukaryota; Metazoa; Chordata; Mammalia; Perissodactyla; Equidae. The record is from RNAcentral.
CUGUGAUUUGUAAUUUUAGUAUCCUGUUCAAGAAAUCUUUGCCUAAUCCAAGGUCAUAAAGACAUUUCCUUAUGUCUUCCUCUAAAAUCUGUAUUGUUUUACCUUUCAUAUUUAGAUCUGCAACCCACCUGGAAUUGAUUUUUGUUUAUGGUGGGAGGUAAAGGUCAAGAUGCAAUAUUUUCCUCAUAAAGUAAGUAUCCAGUGGACCCAGCAUCACUUCUUGGAAAGACCCACUUUUCAGCAUUGCACUACAGUAGAGCUUUGGUUAUAAAUCUGGUAUCUGACUGUAUGUGUGGAAGAUCCUACUAAGUUUUUGAGGAAGUUCUACUGUCAAAGACACUAUGUUAUUCAGAAAUCUGGCAUAUUUAUCUAUUUAUUUUUGAGUAAUAAAGGAAAUGGGCUAUUUAAAAUCCUAAGCCAUCACGUAGCUUCACAAAGAUCCUAAUUUUGUUAAUAGGACUUCCAAAAAUUUGCUCUCUAUAUUUUGAGAUAUCUGGUUAUUAUCCAUUUUCCUGAUCCUUGGAAAAUAUAUUGCUUGCUUUAGACAAGCUCACAGAUGUUCCAUCUGCCCAAACUCUUCUUUCUGUUUCACUGGACAGGAAGUAGCAAGCCAUGCCAUGAAUGAUGUUAUGAAUCCUGGCAAGGAUAAAGAAGCUUUUAAAGGCAUGUCCAUCAACUUUUUCCAAGAGAGCCAGAAAAGGAUCCGGGAGCCAUGCAUUCCUGCUGCUUCCUGUUUUUCCCCAGCCUGGGAUGGAGCAAGGGAUUUUGCCCAUUACAAAUGAAGCUAUAAACAUUCAUAUACAGGUUUUCAUAUGAUCAUAAGUUUCCAUUUCUCUGGAAUAAUUGCCCAAGAGUUCAACUCCUGGGUCAUAUGGAAUAAGUUGUAUCAUCACAGAACCUCAAAGAGUGCUCAUUAAAUUUUCUGAGCACUUGCUCUAUUCCCUGUGUUUCCAUCAUACAGAGGCAGAGAUAUGAACACCUACUCUGCCCUACAACUCUUAUAACAGAUGAUGGAGAAUAAUAAGAAACAUGUAUCAACCUUUGAGAAUGUCCCCUUUGCCAGUCACUUUACCUUUCUGCAUCAGAUACAAGUGACCAGAAGAGAAACAUGUAUAGACAACCAUCCUUCAAAAAUGGAAGGGCCGAAGCAGAUUGAUCCAAGGCAUAAGGUGCCGCAGUAAGAUCCUCUCCUUUGGGAAUUGGAAAGCUUGCAGAAUGUUAGGAAUCACUGGACUGAACCAUCUCAACAGAAAAACCCUGGAGAAAAGAUCCUAGAUUUCCGGAGUUCAGUCCUUGGAACCUCUCAGUUCUCUGCUGUUCUCCAGCAGUCCUUUGGGUUCAGGAUUCUACCUCUGCAUCCUUCCUUUAAAUUCUCUGACCUCUCUUUUUAUUUUGAUUGAGGAUUGAAGCUUAAGGGAUGUGCCACGUUUAGAUCCACAAAGAGGGGGAAGAAAAGCAUCGGACAACGGGGGAAAGGAUGUGUUAUAUUAUAAAAGUUAGUUGAGGAGAAAAUUUCAAGUAGAAAAAAGUGGUCAAUGAUGGAGACAUUGUCAAGGAGAAUGUGAAAAAGUAGGGAAGGUGUGCUGAUUCUGGCAACUGGCAAAUCACUUUUGAACUUUGAAAAUGAAGUUUCAAGGAACAAGAACUAUGUUGUAUAGAGUGACGUGAGUAGAGAGAAAACAAAAGCAUUUUUGAUAUGUCUGAUAUAAAAUAAACACAUUAGCUGAACAAGUUAACAAGUAAUAGAGUUUUUCUACUCAGGUUGCAGCUAUAUGGCCAUGUUCGAGGAAGUUGAAGAGGAAACAAAUAAUGAAGUAUUCAAUAAAUGAAUAUUUCUAAAAAGCAGGCGAGCAUGGAGCUAAUAACUCAACACGAAAUUUUCCUUGGAAAAGGAGAAGUAAAUGAGAAGUAAGGGAUGAUGGAGGCCAUCAGUUAUUUUGAGGUGAUGAAACAGGUGGACAUGCAAGCGACUACUGAGAGUAUAUUGAUAUCUUCAUUAGGACACAAGACCUGCCUCAUAAUUUGGAUGGCCAAGUGCAGAACAAAAAUGAAGAGCCUAUAUUUCAAAAAUUAAGAAUUUCAGGAAGGUAACAACAGAACUUUAGGACUUUAAGCCAAAUGUGGGC